Vicia villosa (hairy vetch) is the source of this 787-nucleotide long non-coding RNA. RefSeq lists it as uncharacterized. The record is from RefSeq and is a predicted model, not a curated record. The transcript has 2 exons. NCBI's taxonomy places the organism in Eukaryota, Viridiplantae, Streptophyta, Magnoliopsida, Fabales, Fabaceae.
GCCAACUUCUAAACACAUAGCGGGUUGAAAACCCUAAAGAGCAAAAACGGCUCUCUUCUCUGAGAAAGAAAAAAAACACGUUCUCCUCCUCUCAGUUCUCUCUCACUCUCACGAUUUUCUCUCGGUUCCUUCGAUUCAACUCUCGAUUCACAGCAACAACAAAAAAUACUCGCUGUUUCUCUGCUCGUGGCUUUUUUUUUCCGAGUGAACUACAACAACAAUGGCGUAAAAGCAGUGACAUCUCAAUUGCUCUCUCUCGCUCUCGCGUGCCCUCUCAGCUUCUAUCAUGAGCAGAUAAAUCGAAAGAUGAAAAAUCGAAACUCUGCGACCUCUUUCGAUCUCGCGUCUCUCAGGUUCACUCGGUUUCUCUCGAUGCAAGAUUCAACAAAAUAAAAUCACGACGCAAGUACAUAAUCAAACAAAGAGGAACUCUAACCCCAGUAUGACCCAAACAGACCCCAAUUCAUUAUUGAUUCAGUGAUGACAAGUUACAGAACAUAAAAAAACGAAAUCAACGAAAGAAACGAAAUCGACCUUCAGGUCCUCAUGCCAUAUGGAACAAGGCCUUUGGAAGCAUAUACGAAAAAUGUUUUGGAGAAUGGAAAUUCUGAGGACCAAGAUUGAAGCAUAAGUUCAGAACUGUUCUUUUUAUUUUACGUGACAAUUUGUGCAAUUCAGUUGUAAUCUCUCAAAUCAAAUGAUCAAGGAUUAGAAUAAGUCUUGUAAUGUUCAAAUGAGGCUGGAAUGAAAAUUCUAUAUUUUUGUAUGACGUAAUAUUAAUUAUAAA